RNAcentral lists this ribosomal RNA (464 nucleotides) under uncultured Klebsiella sp. Its description in RNAcentral is "bacterial SSU rRNA". It matches the Rfam family "Bacterial small subunit ribosomal RNA", at positions 339 to 795 of the family's 1533-position model. Lineage: Bacteria; Pseudomonadati; Pseudomonadota; Gammaproteobacteria; Enterobacterales; Enterobacteriaceae. The record is from RNAcentral.
CUACGGGAGGCAGCAGUGGGGAAUAUUGCACAAUGGGCGCAAGCCUGAUGCAGCCAUGCCGCGUGUGUGAAGAAGGCCUUCGGGUUGUAAAGCACUUUCAGCGGGGAGGAAGGCGUUAAGGUUAAUAGCCUUGUCGAUUGACGUUACCCGCAGAAGAAGCACCGGCUAACUCCGUGCCAGCAGCCGCGGUAAUACGGAGGGUGCAAGCGUUAAUCGGAAUUACUGGGCGUAAAGCGCACGCAGGCGGUCUGUCAAGUCGGAUGUGAAAUCCCCGGGCUCAACCUGGGAACUGCAUUCGAAACUGGCAGGCUAGAGUCUUGUAGAGGGGGGUAGAACUCCAGGUGUAGCGGUGAAAUGCGUAGAGAUCUGGAGGAAUACCGGUGGCGAAGGCGGCCCCCUGGACAAAGACUGACGCUCAGGUGCGAAAGCGUGGGGAGCAAACAGGAUUAGAUACCCGGGUAGUC